AGGUGCGUUUAUGUGAUACACGUAACAAGAACGGGACAGUUGGGUUUAGGAAAGGAGGAAUGGGACAGCUGGGUUUAAGAAAAGAUGAACGGGACAGUUGGGUUUAGGAAAGGAGGAAUGGGACAGCUGGGUUUAAGAAAAGAUGAACGGGACAGUUGGGUUUAGGAAAGGAGGAAUGGGACAGCUGGGUUUAAGAAAAGAUGAACGGGACAGUUGGGUUUAGGAAAGGAGGAACGGGACAGUUGGGUUUAGGACAGGAGGAACAGGACAGUUGGGUUUAGGAAAAGAAGUACGGGACAGUUGGGUUUAGGAAAAGAGGAACAGGACAGAACGGAACAGUUGGGUUUAAGAAAGGAGGAACGGAACAGUUGGGUUUAGGAAAAGAAGAACGGGAGAGUUGGGUUUAGGAAAAGAGGAACAGGACAGUUGGGUUUAGGAAAAGAAGAACAGGACAGUUGGGUUUAGGAAAAGAGGAACGGGACAGUUGGGUUUAGGACAGGAGGAACGGGACAGUUGGGUUUAGGAAAAGAAGAAUGGGACAGUUGGGUUUAGGACAGGAGGAACGGGACAGUUGGGUUUAGGAAAAGAAGAACGGAACAGUUGGCUUUAGGAAAAGAAGAACGGGACAGUUGGGUUUAGGAAAAGAAGAACAGGACAGUUGGGUUUAGGAAAAGAGGAACCUGACAGUUGGGUUUAGGAAAAGAAGAACAGGACAGUUGGGUUUAGGAAAAGAGGAACCUGACAGUUGGGUUUAGGAAAAGAGGAACCUGACAGUUGGGUUUAGGAAAAGAGGAACCUGACAGUUGGGUUUAAGAAAGGAGGAAUGGAACAGUUGGGUUUAUGAAAAGAAGCACGGGACAGUUGGGUUUAGGAAAAGAGGAACCUGACAGUUUGGUUUAGGAAAA
Molecule: long non-coding RNA, 905 nt
Organism: Sander lucioperca (pikeperch)
Lineage: Eukaryota; Metazoa; Chordata; Actinopteri; Perciformes; Percidae
Exons: 3
Source: RefSeq, a predicted model, not a curated record